Molecule: ribosomal RNA, 455 nt
Filed under: Bison bison (American bison)
Lineage: Eukaryota; Metazoa; Chordata; Mammalia; Artiodactyla; Bovidae
Description: partial large subunit ribosomal RNA
Rfam family: Bacterial large subunit ribosomal RNA
Source: RNAcentral
CAUUUGUUCUCUAAAUAAGGACUUGUAUGAAUGGCCACACGAGGGUUUUACUGUCUCUUACUUCCAAUCAGUGAAAUUGACCUUCCCGUGAAGAGGCGGGAAUGCAUAAAUAAGACGAGAAGACCCUAUGGAGCUUUAACUAACCAACCCAAAGAAAAUAAAUUUAACCAUUAAGGAACAACAAAAAUCUCCAUGAGUUGGUAGUUUCGGUUGGGGUGACCUCGGAGAAUAAAAAAUCCUCCGAACGAUUUUAAAGACUAGACCCACAAGUCAAAUCGCUCUAUCGCUCAUUGAUCCAAAAAAUUGAUCAACGGAACAAGUUACCCUAGGGAUAACAGCGCAAUCCUAUUCAAGAGUCCAUAUCGACAAUAGGGUUUACGACCUCGAUGUUGGAUCAGGACAUCCUGAUGGUGCAACCGCUAUCAAAGGUUCGUUUGUUCAACGAUUAAAGUCCU